RNAcentral lists this ribosomal RNA (482 nucleotides) under uncultured bacterium. Its description in RNAcentral is "bacterial SSU rRNA". It matches the Rfam family "Bacterial small subunit ribosomal RNA", at positions 30 to 506 of the family's 1533-position model. The record is from RNAcentral.
UUGAACGCUGGCGGCAUGCCUUACACAUGCAAGUCGAACGGUAACAGGUCUUCGGAUGCUGACGAGUGGCGAACGGGUGAGUAAUACAUCGGAACGUGCCCGACCGUGGGGGAUAACGCAGCGAAAGCUGUGCUAAUACCGCAUACGAUCUACGGAUGAAAGCGGGGGACUCGCAAGAGCCUCGCGCGGACGGAGCGGCCGAUGGCAGAUUAGGUAGUUGGUGGGGUAAAGGCUCACCAAGCCGACGAUCUGUAGCUGGUCUGAGAGGACGACCAGCCACACUGGGACUGAGACACGGCCCAGACUCCUACGGGAGGCAGCAGUGGGGAAUUUUGGACAAUGGGCGCAAGCCUGAUCCAGCAAUGCCGCGUGCAGGAAGAAGGCCUUCGGGUUGUAAACUGCUUUUGUACGGAGCGAAAAGGCUCUCUCUAAUACAGGGGGCUCAUGACGGUACCGUAAGAAUAAGCACCGGCUAACUACGU